This 980-nucleotide ribosomal RNA is filed under the name human gut metagenome. Its description in RNAcentral is "bacterial LSU rRNA". It matches the Rfam family "Bacterial large subunit ribosomal RNA", at positions 1950 to 2925 of the family's 2925-position model. The record is from RNAcentral.
CCUAAGGUAGCGAAAUUCCUUGUCGGGUAAGUUCCGACCUGCACGAAUGGCGUAAUGAUGGCCAGGCUGUCUCCACCCGAGACUCAGUGAAAUUGAACUCGCUGUGAAGAUGCAGUGUACCCGCGGCAAGACGGAAAGACCCCGUGAACCUUUACUAUAGCUUGACACUGAACAUUGAGCCUUGAUGUGUAGGAUAGGUGGGAGGCUUUGAAGUGUGGACGCCAGUCUGCAUGGAGCCGACCUUGAAAUACCACCCUUUAAUGUUUGAUGUUCUAACGUUGGCCCCUGAUCGGGGUUGCGGACAGUGUCUGGUGGGUAGUUUGACUGGGGCGGUCUCCUCCUAAAGAGUAACGGAGGAGCACGAAGGUUGGCUAAUCCUGGUCGGACAUCAGGAGGUUAGUGCAAUGGCAUAAGCCAGCUUGACUGCGAGCGUGACGGCGCGAGCAGGUGCGAAAGCAGGUCAUAGUGAUCCGGUGGUUCUGAAUGGAAGGGCCAUCGCUCAACGGAUAAAAGGUACUCCGGGGAUAACAGGCUGAUACCGCCCAAGAGUUCAUAUCGACGGCGGUGUUUGGCACCUCGAUGUCGGCUCAUCGCAUCCUGGGGCUGUAGUCGGUCCCAAGGGUAUGGCUGUUCGCCAUUUAAAGAGGUACGUGAGCUGGGUUUAAAACGUCGUGAGACAGUUUGGUCCCUAUCUGCCGUGGGCGUUGGAAGAUUGACGGGGGCUGCUCCUAGUACGAGAGGACCGGAGUGGACGCACCUCUGGUGUAUCGGUUGUGACGCCAGUCGCAUUGCCGAGUAGCUAUGUGCGGAAGAGAUAACCGCUGAAAGCAUCUAAGCGGGAAACUUGCCUGAAGAUGAGUCUUCCCGGAGGUUGAACCUCCCUCAAGAGUCGUCCGAGACCAGGACGUCGAUAGGUCAGGUGUGUAAGCGCUGUAAGGCGUUGAGCUAACUGAUACUAAUUGCUCGUGAGGCUUGAUCCU